UACGAAGGGGGCUAGCGUUGCUCGGAAUCACUGGGCGUAAAGGGUGCGUUAGGCGGGUCUUUAAGUCAGGGGUGAAAUCCUGGAGCUCAACUCCAGAACUGCCUUUGAUACUGAAGAUCUUGAGUUCGGGAGAGGUGAGUGGAACUGCGAGUGUAGAGGUGAAAUUCGUAGAUAUUCGCAAGAACACCAGUGGCGAAGGCGGCUCACUGGCCCGAUACUGACGCUGAGGCACGAAAAGCGUGGGGAGCAAACAGGG
Molecule: ribosomal RNA, 256 nt
Filed under: uncultured bacterium
Lineage: Bacteria
Description: partial 16S ribosomal RNA
Rfam family: Bacterial small subunit ribosomal RNA
Source: RNAcentral